GGUCUGAUUCGGGCCAGAUUGAACGCUGGCGGAUGCUUUACACAUGCAAGUCGAACGGCAGCACGGACUUCGGUCUGGUGGCGAGUGGCGAACGGGUGAGUAAUGUAUCGGAACGUGCCUAGUAGCGGGGGAUAACUACGCGAAAGCGUUAAUACCGCAUACUGCCCUUCGGGGGAAAGCGGGGACCUUCGGGGCCUCGCACUAUUAGAGCGGCCGAUAUCGGAUUAGCUAGUUGGUGGGGUAACGGCUCACCAAGGCGACGAUCCGUAGCUGGUUUGAGAGGACGACUAGCCACACUGGGACUGAGACACGGCCCAGACUCUACGGGAGGCAGCAGUGGGGAAUUUGGACAAUGGGGAAACCCCGAUCCAGCCAUCCGCGUGCGAUGAAGGCCUUCGGGUUGUAAAGCACUUGGCAGGAAAGAAACGGCACGGGAUAAUACCCCGUGCAACUGACGGUACCUGCAGAAUAAGCACCGGCUAACUACGUGCCAGCAGCCGCGGUAAUACGUAGGGUGCAAGCGUUAAUCGGAAUUACUGGGCGUAAAGCGUGCGCAGGCGGUUCGGAAAGAAAGAUGUGAAAUCCCAGAGCUUAACUUUGGAACUGCAUUUUUAACUACCGAGCUAGAGAGUGUGUCAGAGGGAGGUGGAAUUCCGCGUGUAGCAGUGAAAUGCGUAGAUAUGCGGAGGAACACCGAUGGCGAAGGCAGCCUCCUGGGAUAACACUGACGCUCAUGCACGAAAGCGUGGGGAGCAAACAGGAUUAGAUACCCUGGUAGUCCACGCCCUAAACGAUGUCAACUAGCUGCUGGGGCCUUCGGGCCUGGUAGCGCAGCUAACGCGUGAAGUUGACCGCCUGGGGAGUACGGUCGCAAGAUUAAAACUCAAAGGAAUUGACGGGGACCCGCACAAGCGGUGGAUGAUGUGGAUUAAUUCGAUGCAACGCGAAAAACCUUACCUACCCUUGACAUGUCUGGAAUCCCGAAGAGAUUUGGGAGUGCUCGCAAGAGAACCGAACACAGGUGCUGCAUGGUUGUCGUCAGCUCGUGUCGUGAGAUGUUGGGUUAAGUCCCGCAACGAGCGCAACCCUUGUCAUUAGUUGCUACGAAAGGGCACUCUAAUGAGACUGCCGGUGACAAACCGGAGGAAGGUGGGGAUGACGUCAAGUCCUCAUGGCCUCAGCGGGUAGGGCUUCACACGUCAUACAAUGGUCGGGACAGAGGGUCGCCAACCCGCGAGGGGGAGCCAAUCCCAGAAACCCGAUCGUAGUCCGGAUCGCAGUCUGCAACUCGACUGCGUGAAGUCGGAAUCGCUAGUAAUCGCGGAUCAGCAUGUCGCGGUGAAUACGUUCCCGGGUCUUGUACACACCGCCCGUCACACCAUGGGAGUGGGUUUUACCAGAAGUAGUUAGCCUAACCGUAAGGAGUGGCGAUUACCACGGUAGGAUUCAUGACUGGGGUGAAGUCGUAACAAGGUAG
This 1477-nucleotide ribosomal RNA is filed under the name uncultured Bordetella sp. RNAcentral's name for it is "partial 16S-23S ribosomal RNA intergenic spacer". It matches the Rfam family "Bacterial small subunit ribosomal RNA". The record is from RNAcentral. Lineage: Bacteria; Pseudomonadati; Pseudomonadota; Betaproteobacteria; Burkholderiales; Alcaligenaceae.